Molecule: small nuclear RNA, 168 nt
Filed under: Rhinolophus ferrumequinum (greater horseshoe bat)
Lineage: Eukaryota; Metazoa; Chordata; Mammalia; Chiroptera; Rhinolophidae
Description: U1 spliceosomal RNA (ENSRFEG00010007448.1)
Rfam family: U1 spliceosomal RNA
About the family: U1 is a small nuclear RNA (snRNA) component of the spliceosome (involved in pre-mRNA splicing). Its 5' end forms complementary base pairs with the 5' splice junction, thus defining the 5' donor site of an intron.
Source: Rfam by way of RNAcentral
AUACUUACCUGGCAGGGGAGAUACCAUGAUCACAAAGGUGGUUUUCCCAGGGCGAGGCUUAUCCAUUGCACUCCGGAUGUGCUGACCCCUGUGAUUUCCCCAAAUGUGGGAAACUCGACUGCAUAAUUUGUGGUAAUGGGGGACUGACUGCGUUCGCGCUCUCCCCUG